RNAcentral lists this ribosomal RNA (429 nucleotides) under Gemmatimonadota bacterium. Its description in RNAcentral is "Gemmatimonadetes bacterium partial 16S ribosomal RNA". It matches the Rfam family "Bacterial small subunit ribosomal RNA", at positions 355 to 776 of the family's 1533-position model. Lineage: Bacteria; Pseudomonadati; Gemmatimonadota. The record is from RNAcentral.
UAGGGAAUCUUCGGCAAUGGACGAAAGUCUGACCGAGCAACGCCGCGCGAGCGAAGAAGGUUUUUGGAUCGUAAAACUCUGUUGUUAGAGAAGAACAAGGACGUUAGUAACUGAACGUCCCCUGACGGUAUCUAACCAGAAAGCCACGGCUAACUACGUGCCAGCAGCCGCGGUAAUACGUAGGUGGCAAGCGCUGUCCGGAUUUAUUGGGAGUAAAGCGAGCGCAGGCGGUUUCUUAAGGCUGAUGUGAAAGCCCCCGGCUCAACCGGGGAGGGUCAUUGGAAACUGGGAGACUUGAGUGCAGAAGAGGAGAGUGGAAUUCCAUGUGUAGCGGUGAAAUGCGUAGAUAUAUGGAGGAACACCAGUGGCAGAGGCGGCUCUCGGGUCUGUAACUGACGCUGAGGCUCGAAAGCGUGGGGAGCAAACAGG